RNAcentral lists this long non-coding RNA (784 nucleotides) under Mytilus galloprovincialis (Mediterranean mussel). The record is from RNAcentral. Lineage: Eukaryota; Metazoa; Mollusca; Bivalvia; Mytilida; Mytilidae.
GGCGGAUUCAGAGGGGGGCGUAGAGGGCGUACGCCCCCCCUUUGCUCGGACUUUUUUUUUUUUUUUUUUGUAAAAUUAUUAAUCAGUCUAGACUUCGUGAACUUUUCCAUUUCCCGAGAAUUUAAUUUAUAUACCACAAUUCUUUACUUAUAAAUAUAUUUUUCGCUUGUAUUUACUGAUUGUCAAAGUCAUGUGAUUUGCUAUGGUAGAGUUGACCAAUGCGUUGAAAAAACGGCACACGGUCAUUUUGAAAUUCAAAUUACAGUUAUAUACAUUGCUUAGGCUGAGGAUGUAAUGACAAUCAGGAAGUCUUCAAAGCGACACAGGAUUGAGCAAGAACGUAUUGACUUCUGUUUCACUAUUCCACCAAACAGAAAGUAAUAGAAAAUACUCUAUAGACUAUUAUACUUUCAUGAAAAAAAGUUCCACAAUAUUAUUUACCUACGAAAACAUGUUUAACCCUAAGCUAAAUGCCCCAACUUAUUUAUUUUAUAAAUAAAAAAGUUGAAUAAUGAUCCCCAGUCACCCCGCCGCAUUUUUGCGCCUGUUCCAAGUCAGGAGCCUCUGGCCUUUGUUACUCCUGUAAUAUUUUAUUUUUAGUUUCUUGUGUAAAAUUUGGAAAUUAGCAUGGCGUUCAUUAUCACUGAACUAGUAUAUAUUUGUUUAGGAGCCACUGAAGGACGACUCCGGGUGCGGGAAUUUCUCGCUUCACUAAAGACCUGUUCGUGACCUUCUGCUGUUGUUUUUCCUAUGGUCGGGUUGUUGUCUCUUUGAAAAAUUCCCA